UGCUUUUAUCGAAAAGUUGUC
RNAcentral lists this non-coding RNA (21 nucleotides) under Caenorhabditis elegans. The record is from RNAcentral. Lineage: Eukaryota; Metazoa; Nematoda; Chromadorea; Rhabditida; Rhabditidae.